GGGUGAGUAGCUCAGUUGGUUAGAGCAACGGUCUGUUAAACCGUGGGUCGUAGGUUCGAAGCCUACCUCACCCGCCA
Molecule: transfer RNA, 77 nt
Filed under: Balneolaceae bacterium
Lineage: Bacteria; Pseudomonadati; Balneolota; Balneolia; Balneolales; Balneolaceae
Description: tRNA-Asn
Rfam family: tRNA
About the family: Transfer RNA (tRNA) molecules are approximately 80 nucleotides in length. Their secondary structure includes four short double-helical elements and three loops (D, anti-codon, and T loops). Further hydrogen bonds mediate the characteristic L-shaped molecular structure. tRNAs have two regions of fundamental functional importance: the anti-codon, which is responsible for specific mRNA codon recognition, and the 3' end, to which the tRNAs corresponding amino acid is attached (by aminoacyl-tRNA synthetases). tRNAs cope with the degeneracy of the genetic code in two manners: having more than one tRNA (with a specific anti-codon) for a particular amino acid; and 'wobble' base-pairing, i.e. permitting non-standard base-pairing at the 3rd anti-codon position.
Source: RNAcentral